Molecule: ribosomal RNA, 523 nt
Filed under: Pharyngocirrus tridentiger
Lineage: Eukaryota; Metazoa; Annelida; Polychaeta; Saccocirridae
Description: partial 16S ribosomal RNA
Rfam family: Bacterial large subunit ribosomal RNA
Source: RNAcentral
GCCUGUUUAUCAAAAACAUUGCCUUACGUAAAAAUAUGUAAGGUAAGCCCUGCCCGGUGACAUGUUUAACGGCCGCGGUACCCUGACCGUGCAAAGGUAGCAUAAUCACUUGCCCUUUAAUUGGGGGCUGGUAUGAAUGGGUAAACGAGGGCUUAACUGUCUCUUAAACACUAGUAGAAACUAACAUCCAGGUGAAGAGGCCUGGAUACACGUGGAAGACAAGAAGACCCUGUCGAGCUCUGUAACUUAUUGCUAUCUUGAAUUUAGAAAAACCUUAGAAAAGCAUCUCAAGUUACUUCGUUGGGGCGACGAGAGGGAAAAAAAUCCACCUCUUUAUAACAAGGCCGAUUAGCCAUAUAAUGACCCAUUUAUAUGAUCAAAGGAAAAAGCUACCGCAGGGAUAACAGGUUAAUUUUCUCAGAGAGCCCACAUUGACGAGAAAGAUUGGCACCUCGAUGUUGGCUUAGAGUCCCCCCAGCGGCGCAGAAGCCCUGAAGGUUGGUUUGUUCAACCAAUAAUACUC